GCUCGGGCAGCGACGACAUCGCAUCCGCGCCUCUUCAGUUGUUGGCUCAAGCGCUCGUUGGCCUUGGCCGACGUCGGUUUCCUGUGCUGAAUACCUAUCGCGAGGGCAUUUUGUUGGCUGCAUCGUCCCUUUUCCGCCUCGCMCUGCUGCGCCCGUUGGCGUCGUGGWGCGGGGUGGACCUCAAAGCGUGCGCCGUGUUCCGCAUCCCGUGCACUUCAAUACGGAUGCUCGGGUUGUCGGCCCNCGGCGCMCUGCUCRGUCCCUCGGAUGCGGAACACCGAGUGGGUACGAGGCCCUCGGCCUCCAUCUGCCCCGAAAAAAGCGUUYUACGCUUCGUGCGAACGACGGCCGCUCCGAUUUCGACCGUGUCCUCGUGGCUCGGGUCAUGUC
This 390-nucleotide unclassified non-coding RNA is filed under the name Callicarpa arborea. RNAcentral's name for it is "partial external transcribed spacer". The record is from RNAcentral. Lineage: Eukaryota; Viridiplantae; Streptophyta; Magnoliopsida; Lamiales; Lamiaceae.